ACGAACGCUGGCGGCAGGCUUAACACAUGCAAGUCGAACGCCCCGCAAGGGGAGUGGCAGACGGGUGAGUAACGCGUGGGAAUCUACCCAUCUCUGCGGAAUAGCUCUGGGAAACUGGAAUUAAUACCGCAUACGCCCUACGGGGGAAAGAUUUAUCGGGGAUGGAUGAGCCCGCGUUGGAUUAGCUAGUUGGUGGGGUAAAGGCCUACCAAGGCGACGAUCCAUAGCUGGUCUGAGAGGAUGAUCAGCCACAUUGGGACUGAGACACGGCCCAAACUCCUACGGGAGGCAGCAGUGGGGAAUAUUGGACAAUGGGCGCAAGCCUGAUCUAGCCAUGCCGCGUGAGUGAUGAAGGCCUUAGGGUUGUAAAGCUCUUUCACCGGUGAAGAUAAUGACGGUAACCGGAGAAGAAGCCCCGGCUAACUUCGU
Molecule: ribosomal RNA, 429 nt
Filed under: uncultured bacterium
Lineage: Bacteria
Description: bacterial SSU rRNA
Rfam family: Bacterial small subunit ribosomal RNA
Source: RNAcentral